CAAUAGCGUAUAUUUAAGUUGCUGCAGUUAAAAAGCUCGUAGUUGGAUUUCGGGUGGGAAUGGCCGGUCCGCCGUUUCGGUGUGCACUUGCUACGCCCACCUUGCUGCCGGGGACGUGCUCUUGAGUUCACGCUCGGGACACGGAGUCGGCGAGGUUACUUUGAGUAAAUUAGAGUGUUCAAAGCAGGCCUACGCUCUGAAUACAUUAGCAUGGAAUAACACGAUAAGACUCUGGCCUAUCUUGUUGGUCUGUAGGACCGGAGUAAUGAUUAAGAGGGACAGUCGGGGGCAUUCGUAUUUCAUUGUCAGAGGUGAAAUUCUUGGAUUUAUGAAAGACGAACUACUGCGAAAGCAUUUGCCAAGGAUGUUUUCAUUAA
This 377-nucleotide ribosomal RNA is filed under the name uncultured eukaryote. RNAcentral's name for it is "partial 18S ribosomal RNA". It matches the Rfam family "Eukaryotic small subunit ribosomal RNA", at positions 592 to 976 of the family's 1831-position model. The record is from RNAcentral.